RNAcentral lists this ribosomal RNA (491 nucleotides) under uncultured bacterium. RNAcentral describes it as "partial 16S ribosomal RNA". It matches the Rfam family "Bacterial small subunit ribosomal RNA", at positions 29 to 507 of the family's 1533-position model. The record is from RNAcentral.
GUGAACGCUGGCGGUAGGCCUAACACAUGCAAGUCGAACGGCAGCACAGUAAGAGCUUGCUCUUACGGGUGGCGAGUGGCGGACGGGUGAGGAAUACAUCGGAAUCUACUUUUUCGUGGGGGAUAACGUAGGGAAACUUACGCUAAUACCGCAUACGACCUAUGGGUGAAAGCAGGGGAUCUUCGGACCUUGCGCGAUUGAAUGAGCCGAUGUCGGAUUAGCUAGUUGGCGGGGUAAAGGCCCACCAAGGCGACGAUCCGUAGCUGGUCUGAGAGGAUGAUCAGCCACACUGGAACUGAGACACGGUCCAGACUCCUACGGGAGGCAGCAGUGGGGAAUAUUGGACAAUGGGCGCAAGCCUGAUCCAGCCAUACCGCGUGGGUGAAGAAGGCCUUCGGGUUGUAAAGCCCUUUUGUUGGGAAAGAAAAGCAGCAGGUUAAUACCCCGCUGUUCUGACGGUACCCAAAGAAUAAGCACCGGCUAACUUCGUG